UACGGAGGGGGCUAGCGUUGUUCGGAAUUACUGGGCGUAAAGCGCACGUAGGCGGCUUUGCAAGUUAGAGGUGAAAGCCCGGGGCUCAACUCCGGAAUUGCCUUUAAAACUGCAUCGCUAGAAUUGUGGAGAGGUAAGUGGAAUUCCGAGUGUAGAGGUGAAAUUCGUAGAUAUUCGGAAGAACACCAGUGGCGAAGGCGACUUACUGGACGACUGUUGACGCUGAGGUGCGAAAGCGUGGGGAGCAAACAGG
This 253-nucleotide ribosomal RNA is filed under the name uncultured bacterium. Its description in RNAcentral is "partial 16S ribosomal RNA". It matches the Rfam family "Bacterial small subunit ribosomal RNA", at positions 524 to 776 of the family's 1533-position model. The record is from RNAcentral.